UCAGUCGACUCCUACGGGGAGGCAGCAGUGGGGAAUAUUGCACAAUGGGGGAAACCCUGAUGCAGCCAUGCCGCGUGUGUGAAGAAGGCCUUCGGGUUGUAAAGCACUUUCAGUAGGGAGGAAGGUAGUGUAGUUAACACCUGCAUAUUUGACGUUACCUACAGAAGAAGCACCGGCUAACUCCGUGCCAGCAGCCGCGGUAAUACGGAGGGUGCGAGCGUUAAUCGGAAUUACUGGGCGUAAAGCGCAUGCAGGCGGCCUGUUAAGUCAGAUGUGAAAGCCCGGGGCUUAACCUCGGAAUUGCAUUUGAAACUGGCAGGCUAGAGUCUUGUAGAGGGGGGUAGGAAUUUCAGGUGUAGCGGUGAAAUAGCGUAGAGAUCUGAAGGAAUACCAGUGGCGAAGGCGGCCCCCUGGACAAAGACUGACGCUCAGAUGCGAAAGCGUGGGGAGCAAACAGGAUUAGAUACCCUGGUAG
This 475-nucleotide ribosomal RNA is filed under the name uncultured bacterium. Its description in RNAcentral is "bacterial SSU rRNA". It matches the Rfam family "Bacterial small subunit ribosomal RNA", at positions 328 to 793 of the family's 1533-position model. The record is from RNAcentral.